Molecule: ribosomal RNA, 397 nt
Filed under: uncultured bacterium
Lineage: Bacteria
Description: bacterial SSU rRNA
Rfam family: Bacterial small subunit ribosomal RNA
Source: RNAcentral
UAUUGCACAAUGGGGGAAACCCUGAUGCAGCGACGCGGCGUGAGCGAAGAAGUAUUUCGGUAUGUAAAGCUCUUUCAGCAGGGAAGAAGAUGACGGUACCGGACUAAGAAGCUCCGGCUAAAUACGUGCCAGCAGCCGCGGUAAUACGUAUGGAGCAAGCGUUAUCCGGAUUUACUGGGUGUAAAGGGAGCGCAGGCGGCAUGGCAAGUCUCGUGUGAAAGGCCGGGGCUCAACCCCGGGACUGCAUUGGAAACUGCCAGGCUGGAGUGCCGGAGAGGUAAGCGGAAUUCCUAGUGUAGCGGUGAAAUGCGUAGAUAUUAGGAGGAACACCAGUGGCGAAGGCGGCUUACUGGACGGCAACUGACGCUGAGGCUCGAAAGCGUGGGGAGCAAAUAGG